ACGACCUUACUUGAACAGGAUCUGUUCUAUAGGCUCGUAUCACUGUAUCCUUUACCAAUAAGGAGGCAAGCACUUAAGUCUGGUUGACGCAUUCAAUGGCUGUAGAGGAUCGUUCCUUGGGGUGACCUAGAGGUUGUCUGACAGACU
Non-coding RNA from Triticum aestivum (bread wheat), 147 nucleotides. NCBI's taxonomy places the organism in Eukaryota, Viridiplantae, Streptophyta, Magnoliopsida, Poales, Poaceae. The record is from Rfam.